RNAcentral lists this ribosomal RNA (465 nucleotides) under uncultured bacterium. RNAcentral's name for it is "bacterial SSU rRNA". It matches the Rfam family "Bacterial small subunit ribosomal RNA", at positions 28 to 490 of the family's 1533-position model. The record is from RNAcentral.
GAUGAACGCUGGCGGCGUGCCUAAUACAUGCAAGUCGAACGCUUCACUUCGGUGAAGAGUGGCGAACGGGUGAGUAAUACAUAAGUAACCUGGCAUCUACAGGGGGAUAACUGAUGGAAACGUCAGCUAAGACCGCAUAGGUGUAGAGAUCGCAUGAACUCUAUAUGAAAAGUGCUACGGGACUGGUAGAUGAUGGACUUAUGGCGCAUUAGCUUGUUGGUAGGGUAACGGCCUACCAAGGCGACGAUGCGUAGCCGACCUGAGAGGGUGACCGGCCACACUGGGACUGAGACACGGCCCAGACUCCUACGGGAGGCAGCAGUAGGGAAUUUUCGGCAAUGGGGGAAACCCUGACCGAGCAACGCCGCGUGAAGGAAGAAGUAAUUCGUUAUGUAAACUUCUGUCAUAGAGGAAGAACGGCGGAUAUAGGGAAUGAUAUCCGAGUGACGGUACUUUAUGAGAAAG